RNAcentral lists this long non-coding RNA (1567 nucleotides) under Podarcis muralis (Common wall lizard). Its description in RNAcentral is "lncRNA (ENSPMRG00000008587.1)". Lineage: Eukaryota; Metazoa; Chordata; Lepidosauria; Squamata; Lacertidae. The record is from RNAcentral.
CCCGUUUUUAUAUUUUACCAUCUAAUGAAGGUCUAUAACUAGUAGAACUGCUAGAUGCGUGGAAUGAGCUGUUCCUGGCUAAAGAUAGAAAUUCAGUGGAGGAAGGAGGAGGAAUUGAAUCCUCUGUAGAGAAGCAGCUACACUUCUAUCAAAUAAAGCCAUUAUUUGCCGUUCUUUAGAAACUCUUCUUUCACAAUGUGAUCUUAUCAGUACCUUGAUAUUCAGGCUGUUCAGGUAAAGGUGAAGUUAAAUAACUGGUUGCUCAUUAAAAGAGUUAAUUAAACCAGCUCUCAUUUGAAACAAUGUUUUCUUGACCAGAUCCCUAGCCUCCAGGAUCUGAAGAUUCAGUUAACUCUUCACUGCCCACCUUCAAAAUCUACUUGUGGAUUUGCUCUUAUUUUACACCAGUUGGAUCUUCUCCUAGACUGUCCUACAGAUAAUUAACCACCUGCCAGUGCAGCAGAGAAUCACAUUGACCAUCUUGAUCCAGCUCUGACUCCUUGGUGUUCAAAUACUAAACUGUAGAUUAUAAAGAAGAAGUCUGGAGACAUUACCAUCACCAAAUCAAUUAUCAUUGAUGAGUAAGGUUCUCCAUAAGGUUUUGUGUCAAAUGAUUUUGGGUCUGGCAAAGAGUCAUUUAAAGAGGAUACACAUUUAAAUUUAAUAAGGGGAGAAAUGAGUACCAUUCUUCUUGGACAACCAAGUGUAUCAUUUUUAGCUCCACCUCAGAACAGUAAAUAAUGGGUUAGAAGCCACUUGGAAAUUCCUUCUUGGAACAUUACUGGCUGAAAUACUUGCUACCCUGAGGAGAAUUUUUCAGCAUUCCAUAAGAAAUACGAUACCUGCCUCCCAGAAAUCUGGACUACAAAUUGUGAAGAUGACAAAAAAUAUCUAAAGUAAGGUAGAUAAGUUGGCCAGUUUUUAAGUGGAGAUCUGCAGGUGAGCUCACCCUUUUGGCCAACAGAAAGAACUCUCUUUUAAACCUCAAGAAGCCAUCUCCCAGUAUCCGACUAUUGUAUCACAAAACAUCCCAGCCCAAACCUCAACACCUGAAUUGCAGAAUGUUGUUUGAUAUGAUCAUGAGAGCUAAAAGAAAAGGUCAACAGAAACACAAAGACGGUGAAAACUGACUCCUUUGACUCUGCAGUAAAAGAACCUAGACUUGUCAAAGAAAUGCACAACAACCCUCCGCAACUUCUGUUCCCUAGAAGUCAAGAAGUGGUGAAACAGGCAAGGCACCCUUUUAACCAAAGGAGCUUCUUCCACUAGGUGGGGAGCGAAGCCAACUACCCAGACCAAUACCCAGCCUUCAAUAGUGUGAUGAACCUGAAUUUUUCAGAAUAAGAGCUUAAAGUUUAUUUAAGGAAACCAAGGAAAAAAACGAGCACAUUCGCCAUAACAGUUGCCCCUGUCUGCUGGUCUUCUUGCAUAUGCAUUCUGGGAAGUGAGGGAUAACUUCUUCAUCUCAUGAAAAUCUUCACAUAUUCUGGGUUGUAUCCAACCAUGUCUUUCUGUCCAUGCAAGGCCUACUGCUUGUGCAAUGGAACUUCCCCUCUCACUCCUCCCC